Molecule: unclassified non-coding RNA, 254 nt
Filed under: Hevea brasiliensis (rubber tree)
Lineage: Eukaryota; Viridiplantae; Streptophyta; Magnoliopsida; Malpighiales; Euphorbiaceae
Source: RNAcentral
ACCAUGUCAGUUUGAAGUUUUAAAGGAAUAAUGAUCAAAUGAACACUUCUAGAAUGGUCUUGGCCCAACCAUAUGAAAGAUACAUCUGCAAGAUUACAGAUAACAACGAAUAAUUUCCAAAUCCUAUCACAAAAUCUUGAAAAGUAAUUUCUUGUCCAAUGUUACCCAUUCAAUAGAGCAAGGCCGGUAUUAAUUUCAUUCAUUCCUUAUUGAUUCAUAUUUUCAUCUACAUAUUCAAGAAUAAACUUUUCUUA